AGAGUUUGAUCCUGGCUCAGGAUGAACGCUAGCGGCAGGCUUAAUACAUGCAAGUCGAGGGGCAGCAGGGGUGUAGCAAUACAUCUGCUGGCGACCGGCAAACGGGUGCGGAACACGUACGCAAUCUACCCAAAACUGGUGAAUAGCCCUCCGAAAGGAGGAUUAAUACACCGUAACCUCACUGAGUGGCUUCACUUGAUGAGUAUAGCUCCGGCGGUUUUGGAUGAGCGUGCGCCUGAUUAGGUAGUUGGCGGGGUAACGGCCCACCAAGCCUUCGAUCAGUAACUGGUGUGAGAGCACGACCAGUCACACGGGCACUGAGACACGGGCCCGACUCCUACGGGAGGCAGCAGUAAGGAAUAUUGGUCAAUGGACGCAAGUCUGAACCAGCCAUGCCGCGUGAAGGAUGAAGGUCCUCUGGAUUGUAAACUUCUUUUAUCUGGGACGAAACCCGGGCAUUCCUGCCCGAUUGACGGUACCAGAGGAAUAAGCACCGACUAACUCCGUGCCAGCAGCCGCGGUAAUACGGAGGGUGCAAGCGUUAUCCGGAUUCAC
This 555-nucleotide ribosomal RNA is filed under the name uncultured Bacteroidota bacterium. Its description in RNAcentral is "bacterial SSU rRNA". It matches the Rfam family "Bacterial small subunit ribosomal RNA", at positions 8 to 554 of the family's 1533-position model. Lineage: Bacteria; Pseudomonadati; Bacteroidota. The record is from RNAcentral.